RNAcentral lists this long non-coding RNA (2469 nucleotides) under Anolis carolinensis (green anole). RNAcentral's name for it is "lncRNA (ENSACAG00000037895.1)". The record is from RNAcentral. Lineage: Eukaryota; Metazoa; Chordata; Lepidosauria; Squamata; Anolidae.
ACCCUAUCUGUAUGGGUGUCAAAAUGAGGAUGUUUGCCAGAGACCUAUUGAGUUGGCUGUGUAUUCACGAUCUCUAUGCAGUUCCUAGGGGUUGAUGUGGCUCUGUUCCCCUAUCAACUGAAAAGCAGCUAUCUGACAUUUCUAUCCCAAUCAUGUGAGGUAACGUUUUCCUUCAUUCCCAAAAUAAAGUUUGAGCAUCCUUUAUCCAGAAUUCUAAAAUCUGAAAUACUUUAAAAUCCAAAAUCGCCCAUUUGCUUUCUGAUGGUUCAAUGUACACACCUUUUGUUUCAUGCACAAAAAUAUUAAAUAUAUUGCAUGUAAAAUUGCUUUCAGGCUAAGUAUGUAAGGCGUACAUGAGAAAACAUGAACUUCAUGUUUAGACUUAGGUCCCAUUCCCAAGAUAUGUCACUGCGUACAGGUAUUCCAAAAUCUACAAAAAUCCAAAAUCUAAAAUAUUUCUGGCCCUGAGCAUAUCAGAUAAGGGAUAUUCCAUCUGUAUCUAGCAUUUCAAAGAGUGAAAUACUAAAAAUCAGUAACACCUGGAGCUCUUGUAUAUAUCAUGUUCAUACUCCCAUAGUAACUUUGCUUCUCUGUUUCUUUGGAUGCCUAAACUGUGUUUCUAAAGGUGCAACUGAGGUUUAGGUUGCUGCAAUGCUCGUUUAUUUUCAAAGAAACUGCGUCACAUUUUUUAAACAAAAAAAAAAAACCCUUUCCCACCCCACCCUAAAAUAAAUGCCUUCUUUUCUUUGUAAAGAGUCGAUUACUUCUUUUUCUCAAUGGCUACCAGUGCCUGCCUUCCUCUUGCAGCAACCCUUAGGUCCCCCUGCAACAACAUGCCAGGCAGCAAGACCAACCAACCACCCUCCUCCCACUUUCAGGCCAGAAUGAGGCUCGAGGCAUGCGGGAGGGGCUUUUAAGGAGGACAGCCUAGACCAUUCCCCUUACAUGAACAUCCACACUGAUUGGCAAAGGAGGCAAGCCCAGGCUAGGCUGCUCCUCUGCAAACAAAGUUUGGUGGCUUUAAAAAUGCUUUGUCAUAUAUCCGAUGAACUUACGAGCCCAUUAAAUCAAUGGUCUCAAACGUUUCGAAACUGAAAGUGUAUUCCGAAGUGCCAAACCGCAUCAGAACUCAAUUUGGAACCCUUAAUAGAUCUGAUUUUAAUCCGAUUUAUGAUUAUUGCGAGGAAUUUGCACAUCCUUAGUAGAUAGUAGUGGGCUAAGGAGCCUCAGGAAAAGUGCUAUUAUUGUGGAACAAAAAUUGAAAAUGGGCAAAAUAAAAAAUAUUGGGAGCAAGGAUUUGUUUUUAUUUUGUGCAGCAAUAGCAAAUGUGAGUGAGUUCAAGACGAAAGUAGGAAUAUGUUCAGAUGGCUGAGUUUCUGGAUCAGAUUUCUUCUCAGCCUUUUUAGCUUAUUGUGAAAGGUUUUCACUCACUCUGCCAGCAAAGGUUCUCUCCUGGUUGGUUUCACCAACUGUCAUGGUCUGGCCUUGUCAACAUGUCAGAGAUAAUGCAAUGUAGAAUCUUCAUUGGCCAGGAUUUGGUUGCACCCAUUUUUAAAAAAAUAUUUUUUAGUUCCAAGAAACUGCUUUCAAAGGGGGAAUAUUAAUCCAAAAUUGGAGAAACUGGGUCCAAAAAGGCAGAAAAUAUCAACUUUAAACUGAGGAGUCUAAAUUAAUAUGACAGAAUAAACAAGGAAUUUGAAAUAAAAAUUUCAUAUAUAUUCCUGCAUUACUUAUUACAUCAAGUACAUUCAUAAACAAUUAUGUUAUUUUAGAAUAAAACACUGAACAAUGGACACAUAUUUAAAGUGCAGUUGCAAUUCAAAGUGCUUCACUUUCCUAAAGUAAACAUGGCAGCAUUCCUAGAGUAACUGUUACAAAUUCGAGAGGUUUGCAUUAAAAGUGAAUUGUCACAGAAGAUUCCUGUUAAGCAAGAUGUUACCAGGGAAGUUUAGCAAUGCCGUAAAUCACAGUAUUCUACACAGAGUGUUGUUGGAGUUUGCAACCUUUCCAUUCCCACAAUAAUAGUGUUUAGAUUUCAGAGCUACGCUGAAGGAUGUUUAGAUUGCAUGCCGCUUACCAUGCCUACACUCAGUGGUAUUUUUAGAUUGCACGUCAUUUUUAGUUGCUUGUUUAUGGUAACUCCCUGUUUGUUUCUGUGUAUGUUUGUUCACACCACUCUCUUCCUACAUCAUGUAGCUUUUCUUUGAUUUCGGAUCCCAUCCACUCUCAUACCUCUUUAUGCCUGUCCUUCAUGAAGCAUGGAUGAUAAAAGCUCUCUCUGCUUGAGAUGUUCCAGCUUUCCUGAUACUAUUCAUUCCUUUUUGGUGGUCAAACCAGGAACAAGCCAUGAGAGAAAAGACAUAGAUUCACCCAGAGAAAUAAUUGUUCUUUCCAUACAUCAAGGGAACCACUGAUCUCAUAGGGAAGCUGAUGAAGAAACACAACCUACAAACCAUAUACAGACCCACU